Molecule: ribosomal RNA, 306 nt
Filed under: uncultured Peredibacter sp.
Lineage: Bacteria; Pseudomonadati; Bdellovibrionota; Bacteriovoracia; Bacteriovoracales; Bacteriovoracaceae
Description: bacterial SSU rRNA
Rfam family: Bacterial small subunit ribosomal RNA
Source: RNAcentral
GACAGGUGCUGCAUGGCUGUCGUCAGCUCGUGUUGUGAAAUGUUGGGUUAAGUCUCGCAACGAGCGCAACCCCUAUCUUUAGUUGCCAGCAUUAAGUUGGGCACUCUAGAGAGACUGCCCGGGUUAACCGGGAGGAAGGUGGGGAUGACGUCAAGUCCUCAUGGCCCUUAUGCCUAGGGCUACACACGUAAUACAAUGGUGCAUACAAAGAGAAGCGAUCACGCGAGUGUCAGCAAAUCUCAAAAAGUGCAUCUCAGUCCGGAUUGGAGUCUGCAACUCGACUCCAUGAAGUUGGAAUCGCUAGUA